UACGAAGGUGUCAAACGUUGUCCGGAAUAACUGGGCGUAAAGGGCGCGUAGGCGGUCGCGUAAGUCAGAUGUGAAAGCUCUGGGCUCAACCCAGGAAUUGCAUUUGAUACUGCGUGACUAGAGUUCGGUAGAGGAGGGCGGAAUUCCAGGUGUAGCGGUGAAAUGCGUAGAUAUCUGGAGGAACACCCGUGGCGAAGGCGGCUCUCUGGUCCGAUACUGACGCUGAGGCGCGAAAGCUAGGGUAGCAAAC
RNAcentral lists this ribosomal RNA (250 nucleotides) under uncultured bacterium. RNAcentral's name for it is "partial 16S ribosomal RNA". It matches the Rfam family "Bacterial small subunit ribosomal RNA", at positions 524 to 773 of the family's 1533-position model. The record is from RNAcentral.